GACAGAGGCCUCAAGCGUUAGGCGGAAUCACUGGGCUUAAAGCGUGUGUAGGCGGAUCGUUAAGUGUCUUGUGAAAUCCCACGGCUCACCCGUGGAACUGCUCGGUAUACUGGUCGUCUUGAGCCUUCUAGGGGCGAGUGGAACAAAUGGUGGAGCGGUGAAAUGCGUAGAUAUCAUUUGGAACGCCAAUGGUGAAAACAACUCGCUGGGGAAGUGCUGACGCUGAGACACGAAAGCCAGGGGAGCGAACGGG
RNAcentral lists this ribosomal RNA (253 nucleotides) under uncultured bacterium. Its description in RNAcentral is "partial 16S ribosomal RNA". It matches the Rfam family "Bacterial small subunit ribosomal RNA", at positions 524 to 776 of the family's 1533-position model. The record is from RNAcentral.